This 72-nucleotide transfer RNA is filed under the name Dermacentor silvarum. Its description in RNAcentral is "transfer RNA proline (anticodon AGG)". It matches the Rfam family "tRNA". Rfam says of the family: Transfer RNA (tRNA) molecules are approximately 80 nucleotides in length. Their secondary structure includes four short double-helical elements and three loops (D, anti-codon, and T loops). Further hydrogen bonds mediate the characteristic L-shaped molecular structure. tRNAs have two regions of fundamental functional importance: the anti-codon, which is responsible for specific mRNA codon recognition, and the 3' end, to which the tRNAs corresponding amino acid is attached (by aminoacyl-tRNA synthetases). tRNAs cope with the degeneracy of the genetic code in two manners: having more than one tRNA (with a specific anti-codon) for a particular amino acid; and 'wobble' base-pairing, i.e. permitting non-standard base-pairing at the 3rd anti-codon position. The record is from RNAcentral. Lineage: Eukaryota; Metazoa; Arthropoda; Arachnida; Ixodida; Ixodidae.
GGCUCGUUGGUCUAGGGGUAUGAUUCUCGCUUAGGGUGCGAGAUGUCCCGCGUUCAAAUCCCGGACGAGCCC